AUUGAACGCUGGCGGCAGGCCUAACACAUGCAAGUCGAACGAGUGGCGGACGGGUGAGUAAUGUCUGGGAAACUGCCUGAUGGAGGGGGAUAACUACUGGAAACGGUAGCUAUUACCGCAUACCAUCGGAUGUGCCCAGAUGGGAUUAGCUAGUGGGUGGUGUAAAGGCUCACCUAGGGGACGAUCCGUAGCUGGUCUGAGAGGAUGACCAUCCAAGCGUGAACUGAGACACGGUCCAGACUCCUACGUGAGGCAGCAGUGGGGAAUAUUGCACAAUGGGCGCAAGCCUGAUGCAUCCAUGCCGCGUGUAUGAAGAAGGCCUUCGGGUUGUAAAGUACUUUCAGCGGGGAGGCGUUACCCGCAGAAGAAGCACCGGCUAACUCCGUGCCAGCAGCCGCGGUAAUAC
This 406-nucleotide ribosomal RNA is filed under the name uncultured bacterium. RNAcentral describes it as "partial 16S ribosomal RNA". It matches the Rfam family "Bacterial small subunit ribosomal RNA", at positions 30 to 526 of the family's 1533-position model. The record is from RNAcentral.